UUCCUACGGGGGGCUGCAGUGGGGAAUAUUGGACAAUGGGCGCAAGCCUGAUCCAGCCAUGCCGCGUGGGUGAAGAAGGCCCUAGGGUUGUAAACCCCUUUCAGCGGGGAAGAUAAUGACGGUACCCGCAGAAGAAGCCCCGGCUAACUCCGUGCCAGCAGCCGCGGUAAUACGGAGGGGGCUAGCGUUGUUCGGAAUUACUGGGCGUAAAGCGCGCGUAGGCGGACCUGCAAGUCGGUGGUGAAAGCCCGAGGCUCAACCUCGGAACUGCCUUCGAGACUGCGGGGCUCGAGUCCGGGAGAGGUGAGUGGAAUUCCUAGUGUAGAGGUGAAAUUCGUAGAUAUUAGGAGGAACACCAGUGGCGAAGGCGGCUCACUGGCCCGGUACUGACGCUGAGGCGCGAAAGCGUGGGGAGCAAACAGGAUUAGAUACCCCGGUAGUC
This 442-nucleotide ribosomal RNA is filed under the name uncultured Hyphomicrobiaceae bacterium. Its description in RNAcentral is "bacterial SSU rRNA". It matches the Rfam family "Bacterial small subunit ribosomal RNA", at positions 336 to 795 of the family's 1533-position model. Lineage: Bacteria; Pseudomonadati; Pseudomonadota; Alphaproteobacteria; Hyphomicrobiales; Hyphomicrobiaceae. The record is from RNAcentral.